CUUUUGCACAACUCUCCCUCCUAUCUCAAGCAUCCUCUGCUCCUCCAAAAAAAAAAAGCCAGGGUUCAAGUCAAAGCACCUCUAUUCUUCUCCUCCAACCAUCCAAUCCCCUUGAGUUUCCUCCAGAUGUACACUUGGUAGAUCUGCCCUUAUUGCAUGUUCUGUGUGGCUUUGAGGUCAGAGGAGGAGGCUGCCCAUCACACAUGGUGCCCCGACUCGUUUGACAGGAUUGCUUCGUUGCUAGCUGCUCCACAACCACGAUAAGGCCUUGAAGAUCCCCAACAGCUCCAUGUCAUGCUAGUAUCCCCUUAUCAUAUGGGUUCCUUGUUCAGUAAAUUUUACUAUUUGGAGCAUAAAUACAUGAUAGCUGUCUUGUGCCAGCUGAAUUUUAGGUUCGGAGUUGGGAAGCCUCAAUUAUUUGGGGUGCUUGGGGCUGGUUCCAGGGUCCAAGAAUUCAUACUAAUGCUUUGAUUUGUAGAUUGGUUAGACCAGCGAUGUCAUUUGCUUGGACUAGAAGAGGUUAUUAGACCAGUGUUGUGUUGCAUAUUUGUAUGCUUAAGAGGUUAUUAGGCCAGUGUUGUGUUGCAUAUUUGUAUGCUUGUCAGAUUCUGAAUAUAAGUUUGGGGGAAUGUUAGUUUGUCUGUUGAGUUUUUUUUUGUGUGUUGAGAUGUAGAUUAUUUCUUAGUUUGAAAAAAGUGAUAUAUGGUCUGGAGGAACCACUUUAGUUUUUUUAGCUCCAUGGAACCUCCUCAUUAGCUUCAACUGUAGGCUUCUCUGUUUUUUUUUUUCACUUUUUGGGCCCAAUGGGCAAAAUCUGGAGAACGUAUUAGUGAUUUUUGCAUCAUUCUGUAGUGAAGAACAAGUGUUUGUCGUAUAUGCGAACUAGAUUUCAGAUGAAAGUUCAAAAAUAUGUACUCACUGCUGUUCAUAAUUCAAGUGCUCCUAUUAUGUUCAGUUGGUGAAUCAGGUCCUAGUUUUAAAUUGUGCUGAGCUCCAUUUGUGCAAAAUACAAGACUAUAAUCAGUUCCGUGUAUGUUCCUGACUGUUACACCAACCUAAAGCAUGCGAUUGACAUGGUUUUCAAUAGCUUGAAGGAAGAUGCAGACUUCUACAAAAUUUGUGCUUUGCGGGAAGCAGGCAAAGGUUAUUUAGGGAAGCAGUUCGUUUGUUUGAAGGCAGGCUGGAGCCUGGAGGGAACGCAAAUGGAACAAAAAGCCCACGAGGUGGAAAUGUAGUACUAGCAGAAUCAUUGGUUGUAUAAUCCCUGUUGGUUUGACCUUGGGCAGCGUGGGCUGCCUCUACAAGAUAUAAUGUUCUUGUAAUAUUGAUCCUUGAAUGAUUAUUAGAUUGAGCGCUAACUUCCUGAAUGGUGUAAUUGAUAAAUUUAGCUAUUAGAAUGGUUUCCAUGAUUGAUCAUAUACAAUGCUGCCCAAAUGUGUAAUUUCCAUGUCUUUGACUGCACUUCCAUAUGUACAAAAUAAAACAAAAGAUCAAAGCUCAAGGGGUUCAACAA
Molecule: long non-coding RNA, 1513 nt
Organism: Setaria italica (foxtail millet)
Lineage: Eukaryota; Viridiplantae; Streptophyta; Magnoliopsida; Poales; Poaceae
Exons: 2
Source: RefSeq, a predicted model, not a curated record